This 253-nucleotide ribosomal RNA is filed under the name uncultured bacterium. RNAcentral describes it as "partial 16S ribosomal RNA". It matches the Rfam family "Bacterial small subunit ribosomal RNA", at positions 524 to 776 of the family's 1533-position model. The record is from RNAcentral.
UACGUAGGGUGCGAGCGUUGUCCGGAAUUACUGGGCGUAAAGAGCUCAUAGGUGGUUUGUCGCGUUGUUCGUGAAAACCUGAGGCUUAACCUUGGGCGUGCGGGCGAUACGGGCAGACUGGAGUACUGCAGGGGAGACUGGAAUUCCUGGUGUAGCGGUGGAAUGCGCAGAUAUCAGGAGGAACACCGGUGGCGAAGGCGGGUCUCUGGGCAGUAACUGACGCUGAGGAGCGAAAGCGUGGGGAGCGAACAGG